This is an RNA transcript of Hemicordylus capensis (graceful crag lizard), 9019 nucleotides long. It is a transcript of the gene named midline 2, with no coding region annotated. Lineage: Eukaryota; Metazoa; Chordata; Lepidosauria; Squamata; Cordylidae. The transcript is spliced from 11 exons. The record is from RefSeq and is a predicted model, not a curated record.
CCCCUUCGUGGCGCCUCCGGAGGUGCCGCUGGUGCCCGGCGCGACUCCCGCGACUCCGCCACUCAGAGCCCGGCCCGGCUCCUGGCGGGGGCUGCCAGAAGAGGCGCCCAGCGAUGGAGAGAGGCCCAGCAUCCGGUGGCUGGCCUGCCGCCCUCCUUCGCGCUGAAGCCGGCUGCUCUUGACUAAAGAUGGAAACACUGGAGUCGGAGCUGACCUGCCCAAUCUGCCUGGAGUUGUUUGAGGACCCCCUCCUCCUGCCCUGCGCCCACAGCCUCUGCUUCAGCUGUGCCCACCGCAUCCUGGCCUCCAGCUGUGCCUCUGGAGAGCCCCUGGAGCCCCUCCCCGCCUUCCAGUGCCCCACCUGCCGCUAUGUCAUCGCCCUCAACCAUCGGGGCCUGGAGGGCCUCAAGCGCAAUGUGACGCUGCAGAACAUCAUCGACCGCUUCCAGAAGGCCUCCCUGAGUGGGCCCAACUCCCCCGGCGAGAACUGCCGCGAGCGGCCCUACCGCCAGAGCCCCACCAUGUCCGGGGCGGACCGCAUUGCCUGCCAGUUCUGCGAGCAGGACCCCCCGCGGGACGCCGUCAAGACCUGCAUCACCUGCGAGGUGUCCUACUGCGACCGCUGCCUGCGGGCCACGCACCCCAACAAGAAGCCCUUCACCAGCCACCGCCUGGUGGAGCCCGUGCCGGACGCCCACUUCCGCGGCCUGACCUGCCUGGAGCACGAGAACGAGAAGGUGAACAUGUACUGUGUGGCUGAUGACCAGCUCAUCUGUGCCUUAUGCAAACUGGUGGGGCGGCACCGCGACCACCAGGUGGCCUCCCUGAGCGACCGCUUCGAGAAGCUCAAGCAAACCCUGGAGAUGAACCUCACGAACCUGGUUAAGCGCAACAGUGAGCUAGAGAACCAGAUGGCCAAACUGAUACAGAUCUGCCAGCAGGUGGAGGUGAACACAGCCAUGCACGAGGCGAAGCUGAUGGAGGAAUGCGACGAGUUGAUGGAGAUCAUCCGUCAGCGCAAGCAAGUGAUUGCUGUCAAGAUCAAGGAGACAAAGGUGAUGAAGCUGAGGAAGCUGGCCCAGCAGGUCGCCAACUGCCGACAGUGCCUGGAGCGCUCCACCGUCCUCAUUAACCAAGCGGAGCACAUCCUGAAGGAGAACGACCAUGCAAGGUUCCUGCAGACGGCAAAGAAUGUGGCGGAGAGGGUCGCCAUGGCAACCGCAUCCUCCCAAGUUUUGAUACCCGAUAUCAAUUUUAACGAUGCCUUUGAAAACUUUGCGUUAGAUUUUUCCAGAGAGAAGAAACUGCUGGAAGGACUGGAUUAUCUCACAGCCCCCAACCCGCCCUCGGUCCGCGAAGAGCUGUGCACCGCCUCCCACGACACCAUCACUGUCCACUGGAUCUCGGACGAUGAGUUCAGCAUCGGGUCCUACGAGCUCCAGUACACCAUCUUCACCGGCCAGGCCAACUUCAUCAGCCUGUACAACUCCAUGGACAGCUGGAUGAUUGUCCCCAACAUCAAGCAGAACCACUAUACAGUCCACGGGCUGCAGAGCGGCACACGCUACAUAUUCCUCGUCAAGGCGAUCAACCAGGCCGGCAGCCGGAACAGUGAACCCGCCAGGCUGAAGACAAACAGCCAGCCAUUCAAGCUGGACCCCAAAGUGGCUCACAAGAAGCUGAAGAUCUCCAAUGACGGCCUGCAGAUGGAGAAGGACGAGAGUUCCUUGAAGAAGAGCCACACACCCGAGCGGUUCAGCGGGACGGGCUGCUACGGGGCGGCAGGCAACGUCUUCAUCGACAGCGGCUGCCACUACUGGGAGGUGACGGUCGGCUCCUCCACUUGGUAUGCGAUCGGCAUUGCCUACAAAUCGGCCCCCAAGAAUGAGUGGAUUGGCAAGAACUCUUCUUCCUGGGUCUUUUCCCGCUGUAACAACAACUUUGUGGUGCGGCACAACAACAAGGAGAUGCCGGUGGAUGUUCACCCCCAGAUGAAGCGCCUGGGAGUCCUGCUGGAUUACGACAACAACGUCCUGUCCUUCUACGACCCGGCCAACUCCCUCCACCUCCACACCUUCGAGGUGUCCUUCAUCCUUCCUGUCUGCCCCACUUUCACCAUCUGGAACAAAUCCUUAAUGGUCAUCUCGGGCCUCCCUGCCCCUGACUUCAUAGACUACCCUGAGCAGCAACAGGAGCACCAUUGCAGGCCUCAAGAGUCUCCCUACGUGUCUGGGAUGAAAACUUGCCAUUGAGGAGCCUGUUGCAGCCCCCCCUCCCCUCCCCUCCCCUCCCCUCCCCUCCCCUCCCUCCCACAUACGCCUCCGGACCUUCUGCGCAGCCAGGCUGGAAGGUGGGCCUGCAUCUGGAAGGGCCGGCAAGAAGGUGUCACGUCUGGCUAGCUUGUAUUCUUUGCGGUUCACCCUGGUGGGGUCUUGGGGACUGGGUGGGUUUUUUUGUUUUGUUGAGUAGCACUACUGAAUUUUCUCCAGUGGAGUGGGCAUGCCUUGUUUCAGUUUCCUGCUGAGGAAAGGGUGUUGUGGAGGCAGGGGCGGGGGGUGGGUCCUUCUCAGCUCCACCAUGUUCAACAUGUGCGAACUGCUUUCUGUGCGAAGAGGUCAUUCCCUGGCCGCCAUUUUGAGAGAGCCCUGCGGCAGAGGUCCUUCUCACGCUGGGGUGCCCAGGGGUCGGAUUAGAACUCCCAUCACCCCAUGCCAUGCAGCUGUGGAUGGUGGGAGUUGCAUUCCAGCCCAUGUGGGAGAUCCCCUGGCAUAGAGAAUGGGGGCCCGGGCCGGGAGCCUUUCACAUCUUAUAAUCGCAUGUGGCAAUGGCAUACCGGGGCGGGGGGGGGGGGGCACGCGUUUUUCUCAUGCUGUGAACAGGCUGUCCCUGGGCCCUGAGAGGCCUUGGCCAGCUGCAGGCACAUCCACAGGCCAUGGAAGCCCGCGGUGGCUCUGACUGCCCAUCAGUGGCCAUUUGCAUGGUACAGCCUGCAGGGAAGUGCCUUCCCCCCGGGGAUUCUGCCCACACAGGGAGCAGCCACGAGCAAAGCAAGCCGCACUUGGUGCAGAAGUGAGUGAAGCCCACUUGGCUGCCGGAGGCAAGCAGUCGACGGCGGGGGUGUUGCUGGCGGGCCGCUUGCUUCCUGGGCCACAAAGACUAUCCCAUGUGGUGGUGGUGGUGGUGGUGGUGUCCAGACGCUCUCUGUACCGCUUUUCAGCCACAGAAGUUCUCAGAGCGGAAGGGCGCUCCUUGUCCCCAAAGGGCCCAGGAACGCAAGCCAGGCAGCUGCCACUGGGAGGGGAUGGGCCAGCUGCUCUUCCCUUCUGGAAUCUGAGGAAGGUCACCUCAGGCAGUGCCUCUUUUUCCACUUCUACGGGGGCUUUACUGGGGGGACGUGGGACCCGAGAACAGGACACCUAUUCGGGGAAAGACGGGGCCACAGUUUAGAGUGCCCCCUAGACCAGCCAGCGUGCCAUGGGGCACUGGCUGCUGCCUGGUGCAUUACGCUGACUCCUUUGCUGUGUCCACACCCUCCCCUAGCGCCCCUCCCGCAAACACUCCCCUCCCGUUGCCCAAGAGGGCGUCCUGGCUCUCAAAGUCGGACAUGGAAACUGCCCCCCCACACACACCCCCCUUUUGGAGCUGACUCGGAAUCAAUAAUUGUGGAGCGGUGACACUGACUCGGCCCCUCAUGCCCUGGGAAGGAAGCAUCCCUCCCAGUGCCCCAGUGGGCUCGGCUUGCAAUGCUGUCUGUAGACAAACCAAAUAAAAACCACACUCUAGCUUUGCCACUUCAAAAAUAAAAUCUCUGUUGGAAGGCCAGUGCACCCCAAUCUGUUCCAAGAAAAUUUAAAAACUCUAUUAAAAAUUAUUUAGGUGUGUCAUCAGAUUUAAGAAGCCAGGAAACACUGCUCUCGACCAAGUGUGUGCUGCUGAACCCAACCCGUCCCAGUUCUCACCAUUGGCCUGGGCCUGGUCUCUGAGCUCGAAAGGCAGUUGGGGGGGAGGCGGGCACUCUGCAGAGGAACUCCGGGUGGGGGUCCGCCGAGACCCCGCCGGGAGUUUGCUCGCUGCUUCGGUCGAGGCGUUUGGGUGCAUCUUUUGGCGCUGGUCUGACAAGGGCGUCGUGGACGAGUCGGGGAAACUUCUAGGGGAUUUGUGUGUGUGUCUCAUUCUAGCACAGCAUGGCAGAGCAUCUCAUGGUGUCUGAGGGCAGAAUGUCAGGCAGGGGUUCGGUGGCAUGAGCAGGUGCAGAGGGCCAGGGAAGGGAAGGGAAGGGAAGGGAAGCUUCUCUACCUGGUGCCAGUACGGGGAUGAUGCCAGCACCAGGACCGGUGUGUGGCUAGGCUGCGUCACAGUGGCCCUGGGAGUUGGUCAUGGGUUCCUGUGCUAUCUCAAGGCAAUCUAGAUGCCAGUGUCUGGUAUUUACAGGCUACUAGCAGGAUUCUGCAGGUAUUUCUCUGCAGUAAUGGCUUCGUUUCUGUGCUAGCUUUUCAGUCAUCUUCAGAAUGUGUGAGGUCGUGGUUGUUCUCCGUGUUGUUCUGGAGGUGUGUGAUUCGAAUGGGUCUCUGCUUUCAAUCCAAGGAGGCUUGUUGCUUUAGAGAAUUAAAUCUGAGAGUGUGACCCAGAAAGACAAAAAUAAAGAGUUUUGGAUGGAGAAGUCCAGGAUUUUGAUGACGCUAAAGUAUUGCAGCCCUUUCCUUUCCUGUGACUUGCGGCUGCUGCAAAAUGUUGAUGGCCAGGCCGGAUUUGUGAGGAUUUCAGCUUCCAUUUAAGUAGCCAAAGCUGAUGGUUACUUCAUGGUUAGCACCCGGAUGGUUGGGAACAGAGCUGAAAAUGUGGAGAAGCAAGUCUGCAGAAAUGGUGGCAAGUGGCUUACUUUGCCCCAUGACCUCCACUUCUACUCCACAGCCUUUCAAAACAAUUUUGGCACUUUGCAUGGACCUCACUCCCAAUUCUGCAAAAACUCCUGUGCUCAGGCUGAGCUAUUAAAGCGAGAAAGAUUCUGCAAAAUAGAAUUGUGAUGUAUUUGCAUAAUUUGCUCUGGCUUAAAGAGGAGGCUUUUUGAUGCAGAAUUUGUGCCUGGGGGUGUGGGAGAGCUGAGCAUUGAAUACGAAGAGCGUCCUUUGUGCUGGGGUGUCCCUCAAGGAGAGGGGGUGCUAGGGUCCUUCCUGCCCCACUCCCAGAAAUUCUGCGUUCUUGAAGGGAACUUAGCCUGUUCCCUUCACGUGGUGUUGCUGCUGCCAGAGGUCCUUAAUGCCAUAAACAGCAUCCUCGCCUUCUGUCCUUUUCUUCUUGGGUUUGACCACAUGGGCCCCCAGAAUCCUCCUCAGUGUGACAGAGAGGGCAGUUGGCUUUCUUCUUUUCUUCUUCUACUGUGCAGAUGAGACAACUACCUCAUGGCACAUUUCCAGACCUAAAGGAAGGCAGGGUCACUUCAGGGAACCUGCAUAGUCCAUGGGGCCAGGUCAGGGUCCUCAGACUUCAGUCCCCAGAAGUGGUCGGAUUGCAGCUCCCGUAAUCCCCAGCCACCGGAAGAUGCUGUGAGUGUCCGAAGGGGACACUCCCCUGUAAGUUUUUCUUUCCGUGGCUAAACACAGUUUUGCAGGGGAGCGAUGCGUCUGGGUGAGCACAGGAUGUGGCUGGACGCCCCCCCCCCCGGGUGCUCUGCAGCCUCCUGCCAACUCUGGACCUUCCACCACUGUGUUCUGAAAAAGAAGAGGAUGCCGGGCGGGGGUGGGUGGGGUCCCAGUUCCAGAUGUCCAUGCGGGAUGUCCUGUUGGCCCCGUUGAGUUCCAUGCCUGCCCAUGUGCUCGAAAGGGGCAGGCGGAGGUGGGUGAAGGGGGCCCCUUGCAUGGAUUUGGUGGCCAGAGCAAGAGAAGCCACAGUCUGUCUGGCCCAACAGCCGGAUAUCCUCAGUGGCCCCAGUUUGGCCGGUGGCUUUUCUGUUUCUCCAAAGGGGCCUGACUAAGCCCUCCCUGCUUUGGCCCUGAGGGGCUCCCAGUGACUGCUGCUGCUCCUUGACCAGCUCCCGUGUAUCUUCACAUGCGGUGCCCAGGUGUCCGCAGGGUGGCCAAGCAGGAACUAGCUAGGGCUCGCCACCCAUGCCCCUAUGCAUUUGGAGCCUGUGCCGCCCCACUUGCUUCAAGGCCAUGCACUUAGAGGUCAGCAUUCCCGGAGCCAGAUCUGGCCCCUCAGAUCUGGCCCCUCAUAACCCCAGAGUACCCAGAGCAGGAAGCCUCAGCUCACCUCACCCCCCCCUUCACUGUGCCCCUCUGGCUGAGAUGGUGAACCUGGGGCGGGGGGUGUAUCAGCUCCGCUGGGGCUGCACCACUCCAGAUUGGAUGUUUCUCAAUGCAAACAAAUGAUCCGCAUCUUUUAAACAGAAAAACCCAAGAACCUCCGUGUCGGGGAGGAGCACCCUUGCCAGGCUAGUUUCUAGGUGGAGGGAUUUCUAAUUUCUAAUUUAAUUUUUUGCAUGGAAGACCAGUUGGGCCGGUGAGCCCCCACUUGCAACCGGAAGUGCUUCUGCGGGUACAGAAUGAUAGCCUCCCUGGGGACUAGGAGUUCUCAGCACAAUCAAGCCAGCUCAUCAACAGUGCUAUGCCAAAUCACUAACGUGCCCUUUUCAAAGCAACCCUGUAUUUCCUAAAUGUCUGGAUAGCCAGGCUCUGGAAGGUCUCCUGGGGAGGAAGCGCCACAGAACCAGGGCGCCUUGGAGCGGGAGGCUGCUCCUGCUGCGUUCCACAAUCCAGAGCUGCCCGGGAUGCCAUGCAGAGCGUCUUCCGAGGCUCGUAAGGAAUCGGGCCUCCUAGAAGAAGAGGCCACAGGGCCGCUGCAGGUGCCAACACUGCUCUCGGAUUUAGAGCCACCCGGAGGUGGUGUCCUGAGAUCCCCCCCCCCGUGUGACCUGUCAGCUCAGCCCCGCCUGCCUUCCCUCCGGCGCCCCAGAGCUCCGAUUCCAAACGGCCGGCGCUUGCUUUGGGCCCCGCUUCCCAGGCUGCCCACCCCCAGCGCUGUCCUGUCACUUCACGCAGCCCCUCCAGCUGCUGUAGCCCCCCAUUCUCUUGGGGGCUUCCCGUUGCGACAGAGGAGAAGGAAAGCAGCAGCGGGAGCGAAGAGCCCAGUGGCGGCCCUGGGCUGGUUUCAGCCCACGUGGAAGCCCGCAAGUUCGGCAGCUGUCUGGGCCGCUGCAGUGAAGGAUGCUUUUUCAUCCACUCCGAAUCGCCUUUGCUAAGAGCACCGGGGUGAGAAUGGCUCCUCACGGGGGCAGUGGACCAAAAGGAGCGGAGGAGGCACUUUCCCCGCAGUGCUCCUUUCACUCUCUUGAUGUUUCUCGCAGGCUGGAUGUUCUAAUGAAAGCUGGGCACAACAUUGCAGCUGCCGACAAAUUAAGUCUCCCUUGUCGUGGGCUGGGAAGUGUGUGUGUGUGUACAUGUGUGCCCAAGCAUCUCCAGGGGAGAAAGAUCUGCAGGGAAGGACAGACUUGGACCUUGGAGCAGGAGGUCCCAACCUUCGGCCCCCAGAUGUAGUUGUUGGACUACAGCUCCCAUCCCCCCUAACCCCAAUAGCCCCCCCACCUCCCCCCUCAUUGAGCAGCAUAUUCCUCCUUGGCAAACACAUUCGGCUUCAUUGUGGCCCUUUUACAGCCAGAGCACACGUUCCCCUGCCGUUUUCUCCAUACACAAAACCUUCUGGCCCUUAAAGUCUUGGGAGGUUUUUCAUGGGCUAGAAUCCAUGCCAUCAGUUGCACAAAGUAUUAACCUGCUAGCAGGGGUGUGUGUGUGUGUGCACACACACACACACACAGAGGAAUAGAGCAAGACUGCACAGCUUCGGCCCUCCUGCAGAUGUUGGGCUGCAACUCCCAUCAUCCCAGACUUUUGGCCACUGUGGCUGAGGAUGAUAGGCAUGGUAAUCAUGCAGAAUUUUAGCCAGAUGAUGGUGGUGUGGCCCCCAUGAUCUCACCUUCCACCGAUGACCCAUCUGAGACGACCACCUUCAUUUGCCUCAUGGACAGGCCAGCCAUGAAAUGCAAGAGCUACAGUUUGUCACCAUGCUAUCUAAAGCUUUCGCAUAUGCAUGAUAAGUAAUUACCAUUCAUUUCAGUGGUAAUUGGUGAGAACUGAAUGGUCCUGUAUUGGCUGUCUUAACGAACAUCUGGAGAGGGACAGGAAACCAUUGUUCUGAUUCAGGCCUAAACAAAUAGAAUCAAAUCUCUGGGCAAGUUCUUCAAAAUUCAGCAAGUUCAGACUUUUGUGUGUGUUUGUUCUUUUGCAGAGAGACUGAUCUGUUUGUCAUAUGAACACAGCAGAAGGGAUUGCUGGCAGGUAAAAGCAUCUAUCACGUUGGAAGUUGACCAGACCUGAACAGUUGCCAGUGGGCUACGUGGUAUGGUUAAAUUUCUUGGCACAAACAUUCCUGCUUGGUUGGCAAAGGAGAAACUGAAGAUCAAACUCCCCUAGCUCUGAAGUUGGACUCCUUGCUCUUUUCUGCCUCUUUGAAGGACAUGAGAAGAACCCUGAUGGACUAGAUCAAAGGCCCAUCGACACUGACACACACUGACACUGUGGCUAGUAACACCUGUUACUCACUCUGUUACUAACUCUGGGGAGUCCGCAGUGGCUAAUCAGCUGCUUCUGGGAAGCAGGACUUCAAAGCACUUUCACGCUCGGCCCCCAAAUCAGCCCCCUGGAGUUCCUCAGAAGGGUAGACUUGGGUCUGUGGCCCUCUCUCCUCUCUGACGGUCUCCCUCUCCGCCUUAGUCUGGCCACUUUGGAACUUGCAGAGAGCAUCAGUGCAUCAGGCACGCCUUGCUGGAUGUGGCUCAGGGCCCAUCUAGGCCAGCAUCUUGUUUCCGUCCGCUGGCAGGGAGGGAGUUAGGGUGCCCGUGCACUCUUGGGGAAGUGACUGCUCAGAUGCAGCCCAAGUCUGGUUGAAGAUAAGUUUGUAAAACAUUUAUAAGGUAGAAACCAAAUGGUGCAAGCCAACACUGUAAAAUUAAACAUUUCUGACUUUA